UAGGGAAUCUUCCGCAAUGGGCGAAAGCCUGACGGAGCAACGCCGCGUGAGUGAAGAAGGAUUUCGGUUCGUAAAGCUCUGUUGUUAGGGAAGAAUGAUUGUGUAGUAACUAUACACAGUAGAGACGGUACCUAACCAGAAAGCCACGGGCAAAUUACUGGCCAGCAGCCGCGGUAAUACAUAGGUGGCAAGCGUUGUCCGGAAUUAUUGGGCGUAAAGCGCGCGCAGGUGGUUUAAUAANUUCUGAUGUGAAAGCCCACGGCUCAACCGUGGAGGGUCAUUGGAAACUGUUAAACUUUGAGUGCAGGGANAGAAAAGUGGAAUUCCUAGUGUAGCGGUGAAAUGCGUAAAAGUAUUAGGAGGAACACCAGUGGCNGAAGGCGGCUUUUUGGCCUGUAACUGACACUGGAGGGCGCGAAANGCGUGGGGGAGCAAACAGGGAUUAAAUACCCGNGGUUANUCCACNCCCGUAAAACGAAUGAAGGGCUAANGNGUUGGUGUNUNNNUNNNCAUAAGAGAUCAGUGCUGCAGCUAACGCAUUAAGCACUCCGCCUGGGGAGUACGACCCGCAAGGUUG
This 577-nucleotide ribosomal RNA is filed under the name uncultured bacterium. RNAcentral's name for it is "partial 16S ribosomal RNA". It matches the Rfam family "Bacterial small subunit ribosomal RNA", at positions 355 to 896 of the family's 1533-position model. The record is from RNAcentral.